CCAGACUCCUACGGGAGGCAGCAGUGGGGAAUAUUGGGCAAUGGGCACAAGCCUGACCCAGCAACGCCGCGUGAAGGAAGAAGGCUUUCGGGUUGUAAACUUCUUUUCUCAGGGACGAAGAAAGUGACGGUACCUGAGGAAUAAGCCACGGCUAACUACGUGCCAGCAGCCGCGGUAAUACGUAGGGAGCGAGCGUUGUCCGGAAUUACUGGGUGUAAAGGGAGCGUAGGCGGGACUGCAAGUUGGGUGUCAAAUCUGCCGGCUCAACCGGUAGCCGCACUCAAAACUGCAGUUCUUGAGUGAAGUAGAGGCAGGCGGAAUUCCUAGUGUAGCGGUGAAAUGCGUAGAUAUUAGGAGGAACACCAGUGGCGGAGGCGGCCUGCUGGGCUUUUACUGACGCUGAGGCUCGAAAGUGUGGGGAGCAAACAGGAUUAGAUACCCUGGUAA
Molecule: ribosomal RNA, 447 nt
Filed under: uncultured bacterium
Lineage: Bacteria
Description: partial 16S ribosomal RNA
Rfam family: Bacterial small subunit ribosomal RNA
Source: RNAcentral